AGAAAAGCUCUCUUCUUUUUAAUAUAAUCGCCGUGGAUUUUUGUGGCCGUGUUAAUCCCGGAAACUGUUCCUUUCCCUCCAUCCUUUUGUAACCAGGAUGAAACGUGUGAAGGCGGGUAGGCUGAGAACAAGGAAACAAUGGGAUGAGUUGUUUGUGAAGUUUAAUGAAGAGAAGAAACAAAAAGGAAAUCAGGUUUCAGGUAAUGGUGAUGAGAGGGAGAAGAAUGUUGUGGUUAUUGAUCUGGAUGAGCCUGAGGUGGUGGUUGAGAAG
Ipomoea nil (Japanese morning glory) is the source of this 271-nucleotide long non-coding RNA. RefSeq lists it as uncharacterized. Lineage: Eukaryota; Viridiplantae; Streptophyta; Magnoliopsida; Solanales; Convolvulaceae. The transcript is spliced from 2 exons. The record is from RefSeq and is a predicted model, not a curated record.